ACUGAUGCCUGAACCUCGAGAAAGAGGAGAGAUUCUGGAGGUGAUGAAACACUUUGAACACUCAAAAUUUGCAUACAGUCAUCAGGAUCCAAAGAUAAGAUACGAAUGGUGUUGUCAUAUGAACCAACUGCAAGGAAUCGGGACCUCUGUCUUCCUUCUGGAACAGGGGCAAUAUCCAAACAGGCAACAUCUCCAGACAUCUCAUGCUUUUCCACCUCCAUUAGCUGACCAGUAAUAUCCACCUCAAAAUAUAUAAGCUCCCCUCCACU
RNAcentral lists this unclassified non-coding RNA (269 nucleotides) under Hevea brasiliensis (rubber tree). The record is from RNAcentral. Lineage: Eukaryota; Viridiplantae; Streptophyta; Magnoliopsida; Malpighiales; Euphorbiaceae.